Molecule: long non-coding RNA, 450 nt
Organism: Erinaceus europaeus (western European hedgehog)
Lineage: Eukaryota; Metazoa; Chordata; Mammalia; Eulipotyphla; Erinaceidae
Exons: 3
Source: RefSeq, a predicted model, not a curated record
CCCUUUGGGAGAGGGGGGAAUCACAGGUGGGGGAGAAGCGGUCUCUUUGGGGGGCUGGGUAGCUGUGCCCCCUUUGGGAGUUGACCCUUUGGGAGAGGGAGGAGUAACAGGUAGAGAAGAGAUCUCUUUGGGGGACUGGGUAGUGGUGCCCCCUUUGGGAGAGGCAGGAAUCACAGGUGGGGGGGAAGGGGUCUCUUUGGUGGGCUGAGUAGCUGUGCCCCCUUUGGAAGAUGAUCCUUUGGGAGAGGGGGGAAUCACAGAAGCGGUCUCUUUGGUGGGCUGAGUAGCUGUGCCCCCUUUGGAAGAUGAUCCUUUGGGAGAGGGGGGAAUCACAGGUGGGGGAGAAGCGGUCUCUUUGGGGGGCUGGGUAGCUGUGCCCCCUUUGGGAGUUGACCCUUUGGGAGAGGGGGGAAUCACAGGUGGGGGAGAAGCGGUCUCUUUGGGGGGCUG